RNAcentral lists this ribosomal RNA (507 nucleotides) under uncultured bacterium. RNAcentral describes it as "partial 16S ribosomal RNA". It matches the Rfam family "Bacterial small subunit ribosomal RNA", at positions 30 to 523 of the family's 1533-position model. The record is from RNAcentral.
AUUGAACGCUGGCGGCAUGCUUUACACAUGCAAGUCGAACGGCAGUACGAAGAAGCUUGCGUCUUUGGUGGCGAGUGGCGAACGGGUGAGUAAUACAUCGGAACGUACCGUUUAGUGGGGGGCACCUGUGAGAAAUGGAAGCUAAUACCGCAUACGAACUAAGGUUGAAAGCAGGGGAACUUCGGGCCUUGUGCUAAACGAGCGGACGGUGGAAGAUUAGCUAGUUGGGGGGGGUAAAGGCUCACCAGGGCGACGAUCUUUACCGGGUUUGAGAGGACGAUCCGCCACACUGGAACUGAGACACGGUCCAGACUCCUACGAGAGGCAGCAGUGAGGAAUUUUUGACAAUGGGGGCAACCCUGAUCCAGCAAUGCCGCGUGAGUGAAGAAGGCCUUCGGAUUGUAAAGCUCCUUUGUUAGGGAAGAAAAGGUAUCCAAUAAUACUGGAUGCUGAUGACGGUACCCAAAGAAUAAGCACCGGCUAACUACGUGCCAGCCGCCGCUGUAA